This 204-nucleotide long non-coding RNA is filed under the name Gossypium barbadense (sea-island cotton). RNAcentral describes it as "long non-coding RNA (GBAR_LNC022441)". The record is from RNAcentral. Lineage: Eukaryota; Viridiplantae; Streptophyta; Magnoliopsida; Malvales; Malvaceae.
GUGAAUUGAAUCUCAUAUUUGAUUUGGAGAACAUUUUAUUCCAGGAAGAAGUUUUGUGGUACCAAAAUUCGAGAAGUGGAUGGCUAACUAGUAAAGAUCAAAGCAUGAAGUUUUUUCAUAGCCGUACUCUUACUUGUAGAAAGAUAAAUAGGAUUGAAGCUCUUUAAAUUGCCAAUAUUGGGUGGUGUUUUGAUGAUGAGUUUC